UCCCUGAUGGUCCAGUGGUUAGGACUCAGCACCUUCACUGCUGGGGCCAGGGUUCAAUCCUUGUCCUGCAA
RNAcentral lists this transfer RNA (71 nucleotides) under Capra hircus (goat). It matches the Rfam family "tRNA". Rfam says of the family: Transfer RNA (tRNA) molecules are approximately 80 nucleotides in length. Their secondary structure includes four short double-helical elements and three loops (D, anti-codon, and T loops). Lineage: Eukaryota; Metazoa; Chordata; Mammalia; Artiodactyla; Bovidae. The record is from Rfam by way of RNAcentral. RNAcentral also lists the same sequence under 1 other name.